UAUAGGCCAGUUCGAGAAUCGGGAUUACAGCUCUUCUAAAGCUCUUUCUCUCUCUACCUCCUUCCCCCCAAAGUUGGCCAGAAUCAGGACUUAUGGCUUUUCUUCAUAAUCUUAUACAGACAGCUAAGCAUGUGACCUUAAAGACUAUGGUUUAAUUUCGCCAGCUUUUAAACUUGACGUAAAUGGAACAUACCCACGUGUUCUUUCGAGUUCGGCUUCUCCCAUUUAAUGUAACAGUUUUUGAGACUGAAUCACAUGUUGCCUGUAGUUUAGAUCACCGGUUCUCAGUGCUGUAGAUUACUGCAUGGCACACCACACUGCAAUGGCCGCAUCCAUUCUGCUGUGGGCAGACACAAACAACUCUCCCCGGCCUGCCACCUGUGUCCUUUAGGUGUCCUAAGAAGACCUCUGAUUUUUACCACCAAUAAGCAACUUGAACAUGGGGAAACAGCACUCGACUUGAAAAUGGGGAAAUCCAGAGAAAUCUGAGUCCUUAUUAGGGACUGGAUCCUGGACCUCUCAGAGAACAGAGGUUCAGAUUCAUUUCACUUUCUGGGCCAAGAAAUCAACACAGAUUUUUUUGAGCAUACAGCGUCUGAAAGGAAAGGAGGACAGGCCCCGAUGCGCAGGAGGCCACGGAAUACGGUGCCUCCGGCUCUGGGAGCGGAGAGGACUGCCAGGAGGAAGCAGUCUUUGGGAUGGUCUGAGAAGGAGAAUUCGUUCAGAGUAAACUGGAAAUUAUUUGAUUCAGUCUUUUGUACAGAAACCCUCCCAACGUCUGAGUCUCCUGGCUUCCUUGUCUCCCUAAGCCAGGUGGGCAUGGGGACCUCCUCCAUCCCCGUCCAAAGUAGCACCUGGCUCACACCUGUGUGGACGUUGAAACACACUGUCUGCACCUGGAGAGCAAUGGGGACCAGUAGGAGGGGAUUGCACAGGACAGGAGCUUGUCACAGAGCAGCCUCGGGAUGGAAGGAGAUGUACGAAACAAACAAGUGACCCAACUUCCCAUAACAGCGGGAGUUCUUGUGCAUGGGCACCUGGGCAUCGGGUUUCCAGUGACGGAAACCAGAGCGUGGUGCAGGCAGAAUAACGACCCACCUAAACAGUCCACGUCCUGAUCCCCGGAACCUGUGAGUAUGUCACUUUACACGGCAAAGUGGAACUAAGGUUGCAGAUGGAACUGAGUUUGCUUGUCAGCUGACCUUGAGAUGGGGAGAUCAUCCCGGGUUAUCCAGGUGAAGCAAAGGUCAUCACGAGGGUCCUAGUAAGUGGAAAAGGGAAGAAAAGAGAGACCCAGAGACGGCAGCGUGAGAAGGACUCAGCCUGGCAUUGCUGCCUUUGAGGAAGGAGGAAGAGGCCAAGAGCCAAGGAAUACAGGCAGCCUCUAGAAGCUGGAAAAGGCAAGGACACGGCUUUCCCCUGGAGCAUUUAGAAGGAGCCAGCCCAGUCAACACUUUGAUGUUGGCCCACUGAGACUCAUUUUGGACUUCUGACCUUCAGAACUAUCUGUUGGAUCACUCACUCUGGGGGAAGCCGUGUCAUGAGCAGCCCCAUGGAGUGGUCUUUGCGGCAAGGAACUGCUGGCUGGUGCCAACCACAUGAGUCAGCUCGGAAGUCAAUUCUCCAGCUCCCGCUGAGCCUUGAGAUGACCAUGACUCUGUCCCACAGCUGGACACAACCUGAGAGAUGCCGAGCCAGAACGCCCAGCUAAGCUGCUCCCGAAUUCCUAACCCUCAGAAACUGUGAGAUAACAUUGUGUUGUUUGAAACCAUUAAGUUUUGGAGUAAUUUGUUAUGCAGCAAAAGUAAGAAAUAUCGGAAAUCCUUUUCCUUCACAGUUUUGAAAGCUUUGCUCUAUGGCUAAAGCUCUAGCUCUCCAGCGUUUCUGUUGAGAAAUCCAAAACAAUUCUGACCCCGAUUCUUUGAACAUGACCCAUUUCCCCUGGAAGUUGCGGCACGUUCUCUUCAGCCCAUCUGUUCUGAGACUGGACAGUCAUUCGUCUUGUUGCGUCUCCAUGUUCCGUUGUGCUGGGCCCCUGGUGGGCUGCUUCAGUGUAGAAAUUCAUUUCUUUCACUUCUGGGACUUUUCUUGAAUUAUUUCAUUGACAAUUUACUCCUCUUCAUUUUCUCUAUUCUCCAUUCCUAAAAUUCUUUUUGUUCAUAUUUUGGAUCCCCUGGACUAGUCCUUAUUUUCUUACUCACUGCCCUCUUUUCCUCUAUUUUCCAUUUCUGUGUUUUUUGUCUUGCUUUCUGGGUCAUUUCUUUAUCCUCCAAUCUUUUAGUAAAGCUUUUUAUUUUCGUUUUUAUUCUGUGUUCUCUUCUUUUGUUGUUUUUACGGAGUGUUCCCUUUUUAUAGCAUCUUGUUCUUAUGUCAAGGAUGCAGUAUCUUCUAUUAUCACUCUAGAAAUAUCAAUACUAGAGUUUUAGGGGAACUUUUUGGUUUGUUUCUUCAAAAGUCUUCUUCCUCUGCAUAGUCACUGUCUUUUCAAGUUGUUUUCUCUUGUUUAUUUUCUUUGAUCUCUCUCCUUCGUGUGGAUGUCUGGCAACCUUGGUUCCUCUGUUGACAUUUAAGAGUGGAGCACUAAAGAAUUGACUGGAAGCUCUUAGGCUUUAUGGGGUUGAAUUUGUUCCCCUGAGCCUCACCUUGGGUGAUGUGGAUGGACCACUGUGGAUGGACUGUUGGCCCUUGUUCUGGCUAUCCAUCACUGUGUCCAAAGCUUUGUGGCUUCAAACUACAGCACGGGAAUUGCUCACCAGUGUGCCAUCAGGACAGUGCUCAGUGGGGACAGCUCGUUUCUGCCCCAUUCAGCAACAACUGACAUAGCUUGAAGGCUGGAGGAUGAAGGCUUGCUCACUUGUCUGGCAUCUGGGCUGGGGAGACCCAAACAGGUGGAGCUCACACAGCCGGGCCUCCUUGGGCUUUUCUCCAUCUCUGUGUGCUCUCUCCAGCAUGGUGGCUCCAGGGUAGGUACAUUCCCUACAUGUUGGCUCAGGGCUCCCAAAACACUUGCCCAAGAGAAACAACGAGCCAGGGCAGAAGACGUAUCACUUUUUAUGACCCAGCAUUGGAGGUCAUAUCAUUUCUUUCCCUAAAGCAGUCACAAAGGCCCACCCAGUCUUAAGGGAAGGAGAAUAGACCCCACCUCCUGAUAGGAGAAGUCUCAAAAUUCUGGAAGAGCAUAUGAGACCGGAGAUAUUGUUAUAGCCAUUUUUGAUACAAAGUAUCAUAAUACUUAAGUACACUGUGUGCUAGAAAAUUCGUUGUAUCAGUUCCCUAUUGCUGCCAUAAAAAAUAAUCACAAGUUUAG
Long non-coding RNA from Equus quagga, 3307 nucleotides. RefSeq lists it as uncharacterized. Lineage: Eukaryota; Metazoa; Chordata; Mammalia; Perissodactyla; Equidae. The record is from RefSeq and is a predicted model, not a curated record. The transcript has 3 exons.